RNAcentral lists this ribosomal RNA (1515 nucleotides) under metagenome. Its description in RNAcentral is "bacterial SSU rRNA". It matches the Rfam family "Bacterial small subunit ribosomal RNA". The record is from RNAcentral.
AGAGUUUGAUCCUGGCUCAGAUUGAACGCUGGCGGCAUGCCUUACACAUGCAAGUCAAACGGCAGCGCGGGAGCAAUCCUGGCGGCGGGUGGCGAACGGGUGAGUAAUACAUCGGAACGUGCCCAAUCGUGGGGGAUAACGCAGCGAAAGCUGUGCUAAUACCGCAUACGAUCUACGGAUGAAAGCAGGGGAUCGCAAGACCUUGCGCGAAUGGAGCGGCCGAUGGCAGAUUAGGUAGUUGGUGAGGUAAAGGCUCACCAAGCCUUCGAUCUGUAGCUGGUCUGAGAGGACGACCAGCCACACUGGGACUGAGACACGGCCCAGACUCCUACGGGAGGCAGCAGUGGGGAAUUUUGGACAAUGGGCGAAAGCCUGAUCCAGCCAUGCCGCGUGCAGGAUGAAGGCCUUCGGGUUGUAAACUGCUUUUGUACGGAACGAAACGGCCUUUUCUAAUAAAGAGGGCUAAUGACGGUACCGUAAGAAUAAGCACCGGCUAACUACGUGCCAGCAGCCGCGGUAAUACGUAGGGUGCAAGCGUUAAUCGGAAUUACUGGGCGUAAAGCGUGCGCAGGCGGUUAUGUAAGACAGUUGUGAAAUCCCCGGGCUCAACCUGGGAACUGCAUCUGUGACUGCAUAGCUAGAGUACGGUAGAGGGGGAUGGAAUUCCGCGUGUAGCAGUGAAAUGCGUAGUUAUGCGGAGGAACACCGAUGGCGAAGGCAAUCCCCUGGACCUGUACUGACGCUCAUGCACGAAAGCGUGGGGAGCAAACAGGAUUAGAUACCCUGGUAGUCCACGCCCUAAACGAUGUCAACUGGUUGUUGGGUCUUCACUGACUCAGUAACGAAGCUAACGCGUGAAGUUGACCGCCUGGGGAGUACGGCCGCAAGGUUGAGACUCAAAGGAAUUGACGGGGACCCGCACAAGCGGUGGAUGAUGUGGUUUAAUUCGAUGCAACGCGAAAAACCUUACCCACCUUUGACAUGUACGGAAUUCGCCAGAGAUGGCUUAGUGCUCGAAAGAGAACCGUAACACAGGUGCUGCAUGGCUGUCGUCAGCUCGUGUCGUGAGAUGUUGGGUUAAGUCCCGCAACGAGCGCAACCCUUGUCAUUAGUUGCUACAUUCAGUUGGGCACUCUAAUGAGACUGCCGGUGACAAACCGGAGGAAGGUGGGGAUGACGUCAAGUCCUCAUGGCCCUUAUAGGCGGGGCUACACACGUCAUACAAUGGCUGGUACAAAGGGUUGCCAACCCGCGAGGGGGAGCUAAUCCCAUAAAACCAGUCGUAGUCCGGAUCGCAGUCUGCAACUCGACUGCGUGAAGUCGGAAUCGCUAGUAAUCGUGGAUCAGAAUGUCACGGUGAAUACGUUCCCGGGUCUUGUACACACCGCCCGUCACACCAUGGGAGCGGGUUCUGCCAGAAGUAGUUAGCUUAACCGCAAGGAGGGCGAUUACCACGGCAGGGUUCGUGACUGGGGUGAAGUCGGAACAAGGUAGCCGUAUCGGAAGGUGCGGCUG